Aotus nancymaae (Ma's night monkey) is the source of this 117-nucleotide unclassified non-coding RNA. It matches the Rfam family "Y RNA". Rfam says of the family: Y RNAs are components of the Ro ribonucleoprotein particle (Ro RNP), in association with Ro60 and La proteins. The Y RNAs and Ro60 and La proteins are well conserved, but the function of the Ro RNP is not known. Lineage: Eukaryota; Metazoa; Chordata; Mammalia; Primates; Aotidae. The record is from Ensembl.
GGCUGGCCCAAAGGUAGUGAGUUAUCUCAAUUGACUGUUCACACUCAGUUACAAAUCAAACUCCUUGUUCUAUUAUUUCCUCCCUUUUCACUACUGCACUUGAUUGAUUAGUCUUAA